Molecule: ribosomal RNA, 253 nt
Filed under: uncultured bacterium
Lineage: Bacteria
Description: partial 16S ribosomal RNA
Rfam family: Bacterial small subunit ribosomal RNA
Source: RNAcentral
UACGUAGGGUGCAAGCGCUGUCCGGAAUUAUUGGGCGUAAAGAGCUCGUAGGCGGUCUGUCGCGUCUGCUGUGAAAACUCAGGGCUUAACCCUGAGCUUGCAGUGGGUACGGGCAGACUAGAGUGCGGUAGGGGAGACUGGAAUUCCUGGUGUAGCGGUGAAAUGCGCAGAUAUCAGGAGGAACACCGGUGGCGAAGGCGGGUCUCUGGGCCGUAACUGACGCUGAGGAGCGAAAGCAUGGGGAGCAAACAGG